RNAcentral lists this ribosomal RNA (343 nucleotides) under uncultured bacterium. Its description in RNAcentral is "bacterial SSU rRNA". It matches the Rfam family "Bacterial small subunit ribosomal RNA", at positions 28 to 376 of the family's 1533-position model. The record is from RNAcentral.
GACGAACGCUGGCGGCGUGCUUAACACAUGCAAGUCGAGCGGUAAGGCCCUUUCGGGGUACACGAGCGGCGAACGGGUGAGUAACACGUGGGUGACCUGCCCUCAGCUCUGGGAUAAGCCUGGGAAACCGGGUCUAAUACUGGAUAUGACUCCAUGACGCAUGUUGUGGGGUGAAAGCCUUGUGCGGCUGAGGAUGGGCCCGCGGCCUAUCAGCUUGUUGGNGGGGUNAGGCCUACCAAGGCGACGACGGGUAGCCGGCCUGAGAGGCGACCGGCCACACUGGGACUGAGACACGGCCCAGACUCCUACGGGAGGCAGCAGUGGGGAAUCUUGCGCAAUGGGC